GGGGUUGUGGUUCAGUGGUAGAGCACUUUCCUAGCAUGUGUGAGGCACUGGGUUCGAUCCCCAGCACCCAUA
This 72-nucleotide transfer RNA is filed under the name Ictidomys tridecemlineatus (thirteen-lined ground squirrel). RNAcentral's name for it is "Spermophilus tridecemlineatus (thirteen-lined ground squirrel) tRNA". It matches the Rfam family "tRNA". Rfam says of the family: Transfer RNA (tRNA) molecules are approximately 80 nucleotides in length. Their secondary structure includes four short double-helical elements and three loops (D, anti-codon, and T loops). The record is from Rfam by way of RNAcentral. Lineage: Eukaryota; Metazoa; Chordata; Mammalia; Rodentia; Sciuridae.